UAGCCCGAGCAAACCCGGCCCGGCCUGGAGGAUGCCCAGGUUUAGCUGGGAACAAUCGCCGUCAGCCGCACGGCGAUACCGGGAGCCCCGUCGACUCCGGCGGCCGGAGGGCAACGCACGCGGGCCCGCACUCACGUCACGGCUCUCGCCACAGCUAAUCCGGCGAAGCUCUCCGCGGCCUAGGCCGCCAGAAGUUUACUAGGUGGCUGAUGGUCCAGGUUCAUGCCAAGGAAAUCCCAGCUUCUUGUGGUCAUCAAGUCAUGGUGCUGAUUUGGAGUAACGCUGAUAACUUCAGGUAAACGAUGUACAGCUACGCGUGGAGAGGGACAGAAAACACAACUUAGCAUCGAACAGAAUCAACACUAUGAGAUACAGUAAAAUGUAGGGUGAUGCAUCAGCCAUACCUUUUGAGACCCAUACCCUCUGCUUAUGCUUAUCAUAAGGCAUAAGCAGAGUAGGAGGUAAGCUGAAAAACGCCGAGGGGAAGAGUGGAAAUCCAUGUUGGUGUGGAAGCACAUGCUGAUAUGAUCCAACAACAGAAAGGAAGGUCAAAGAUACAGGCUCAGUUGGCAUGAAUCCAAUCUUUCGGCUAUCGACGCCAAUUUCCUCCCUGAAGUUUCCCUGGAACUAGCUCAGCUGAAACGCGUUGCGUUCCCCCCUGCUCCAGUAUUCUCCCAUUUCAAACCUGCAACGAAAUUGCUGAAGAUGCUGCCGGUUGCUGUAGGCAAUAACAGGGCAGGGCUCCGUUCAGACAGGGAAUCAAAUCAAGGGCCCUCCGGAUGGUCUCGUGCGCGUGUUGAAGGUGUGGUGGUUCUCAAUCGGCGGCGGGUUUUGUAUGCCUUUCCUUUUCCUGGCCGCUGCAUAUGAUUGUACGGGUCCAUCACCCGUGGCUGUGAGCGAUCCGGAGAACAUUGACUUCCUGAUGAGAGAGCAUCUCUCUUCCAUCUCUUCCGGAGAGAAGAUUGACUUGACUAGCGCGUCGACCAUCCAUGCCAUACGUAGUGCCAGCUCUUCCAGUGUUAUCGUGCAGACGUCAGUGCAGCCUGCUGAUCUUUUAGGCCAACUCCACCGCGCGACCUCAAACG
Molecule: long non-coding RNA, 1085 nt
Organism: Triticum aestivum (bread wheat)
Lineage: Eukaryota; Viridiplantae; Streptophyta; Magnoliopsida; Poales; Poaceae
Exons: 5
Source: RefSeq, a predicted model, not a curated record